This 468-nucleotide ribosomal RNA is filed under the name uncultured bacterium. Its description in RNAcentral is "partial 16S ribosomal RNA". It matches the Rfam family "Bacterial small subunit ribosomal RNA", at positions 28 to 507 of the family's 1533-position model. The record is from RNAcentral.
GACGAACGCUGGCGGCGUGCUUAACACAUGCAAGUCGAACGGAAAGGCCCUGCGUUUGUGGGUUGCUCGAGUGGCGAACGCGUGAGUAACACGUGAGUAUCCUGCCCUUGACUUUGGGAUAACUUCACGAAACUCGGGCUAAUACCGGAUAGGAGCUCCUGCUCCAUGGUGGUGGUUGGAAAGUUUCGGCGGUUGGGGAUGGUCUCGCGGCUUAUCAGCUUGUUGGUGUGGUAGUGGCUUACCAAGGGUUUGACGGGUAGCCCGCCUGAGAGGGUGACCGGCCACCAUGGGACUGAGAGACGGCGCAGAAUCCUACGGGCGGCAGCAGUGGGGAAUCUUGCAGAAUGGGCGGAAGCCUGAUGCAGCAACGCCGCGUGCGGGAUGACGGCCUUCGGGGUGUAAACCGCUUUCGCCGGUGACGAAGCGUGAGUGACGGUAAUGGGUAAAGAAGCACCGGCUAACUACGUG